Molecule: ribosomal RNA, 484 nt
Filed under: uncultured bacterium
Lineage: Bacteria
Description: partial 16S ribosomal RNA
Rfam family: Bacterial small subunit ribosomal RNA
Source: RNAcentral
ACUGAACGCUGGCGGCAGGCCUAACACAUGCAAGUCGAGCGGAUGAAGGGAGCUUGCGCCUGUAUUCAGCGGCGGGCGGGUGAGUAAUUCCCAGGAAACUGACUGGAAGUGGGGAAUACCGUCCGUAAACGGGCCCUAAGACCGCAUACGAUCAGAGGGAGAAAGGGGGGGGUCUUCGGACCUCGCGCUAUCAGAUGAGCCUUGGUCGGGGUAGCUAGUUGGUGGGGUAAAGGCCUACCAAGGCGACGAUCCGUAACUGGUCUGAGAGGAUGAUCUGUCACACUGGAACUGGCACACGGUCCAGACUCCUACGGUAGGCAGCAGUGGGGAAUUUUGGCCCAUGGUCUAAAGCCUGAUGCAGCCAUGCCGCGUGUGUGAAGAAGGUCUUCGGAUUGUAAAACACUCUCAGUUGGGAGGAACGGCAGUCUGCUUAUACCUUCCUGUUUUGACGUUACCAACACAAAAAGCCCCGGCUAACUUCGUG